AGGCAGAGAUGCUGCGCCUCGCGGACGAACGGAUUUGGUCAGGAUUCUGGGUGCAGAAACGAGACUCCGGAUUGGUUUCAGAAUCAGGUCCUCCCGAACAAUGCUACUGGGGAAAUAGCCCAGGCGGGCAGCCGUGUCUCCAUAGUAAUCUCCCUGGACCUGGAGAAGAACUUCUUCCACUCAGCCAGCUUGGGCAUGUCACGAUCAGCCCCGCUGGGCCCUGGGAAAACAGACAAGAAGAUGGCACCAAGGAGUACUGGGGACCGCACCAUCGUGGACUGAGAAUGACCAAGUGAGGAAUGGGAUCUCCAGUCUCCUGCUGCCCUCCCUCAGUGCUGAGCCACAAGGAAAGCUGUGUUCUCAAUCCUGUCUCCGCCCCAGACCAAAUUACACCCCCCCCCACCCACUCCCCAAGGUUGUUAUUCAGACAGAACCAUUUCAGAGACAGGGUAAGGGCUAUGGGCCAAAGAAAAUGCCCCCUGGAGCCCAAAGCAACCCAGGCCACUCCAAAUAGCAGCUACCCCCUCAAUAAUCAGAGACCUGGAUAGGCAGGCUGAACUAAUCAGAUUUCUUCUUCAAGUCAUUUCAGGUACCCGGACCCUCCAGAGACCAAACUAGAGAGGCCAGCAUAGAAAACCACCUUGGAAUUUCCUGUGCCAGGAACAAGGCAGUUCUUUGAUUAGCAGCCACAGCCACAGUUCCCAGGUACUGAGCAAACACCCAAUGUCCAGUCUCAGGCUAGGAGUGUCCCACCUGGCUUACUGUGCAUCUUCACAGGCUUCCUCUUCCCUGGAAGGCCUGAGCUAAGCUAUGUCAGCCCCCCUCAUCUGCAAAGACAGCAAUGAAAGUAAAGGACAUUUAUCAAAUGUUAUUUUUGUUUUGGUGUGUAAAUGUUUUGUUACAUAUAUGUCUGUGUACCGCAUGUGUGCUUGGUACCCUUGAAGGUUUUGGAACUGGAGCUACAGACAGUGACAGUUGUGUGCCCCCACAAACCUGAGUCUAGAAGAGCAUCCAGUGCUCUGCUCUUAACUGAGCCAUCAUUCCAGCCCACCAUCCCCUCCUUUUGUUUUUAAUGUUCAUUGGUGUUUUGCCUGCAUGUACGUCUGUGUGAUGCUGUCAGUUACAGUUGUUAGCUGCCGUGUGGGUGCUGGGAAUUGAACCCAGGUCCUCUGGAAGAGCACUCAGUACUCUUUAACUGCGGAGCCAUUUCUCCAGCUCCCAGUCCACCCUUUUUUGGAAACAGAGUUCUACUACAUAGUCUUGGCUGUUCUGGGACUCCCUAUAUAGAGCAGGCUGGCCUCAAAGUCACAAGGGAUCCACCUGCCUCUGCCUUCCCGGUGAUGGGUAAGGCAUGCACCACCAUGCAGGGUUAGAAUCAAGUAUAUUUUCCCCCCUAGGGGCUCUAACAAGCCCAGUUCAUGAAGAAAUUAUUAAUAUAGUCAAGGAACAUGUGUGCAAAGUAACUGACCCAUGAAGGGGGCCAAGAUUUGUCUCAAGGUUUCCAAGUAUCAGUGUUAUCUGGCCUGAGGAAUAGCUCAACAGAUAAUCAGGGAACAGAGGCCCAAAAAUUGUGUCUGGGGACCUCAUAAAGAUGUUAUAUGGCUUAGUGGCUGUGGCAGUUUGAAUGAGAACUGUGCCUAUAGGCUAUUACAGUUGAGUGGUUCUCAGUUGUGGGGCUAUUUAGGAAGGAUUGGGACAGGUUGCUUUGUUGGAGGAUGUGUCACUGGGGGUGGGCUUUGAGGUUUCAAAAGCCCAGCUCUCUGCCUCCAUCUGGCAGAUCAGAUGUAAGCUCCAGCACCUUGCUGGCCUCUUGCCAUGAUAGCCACCAUAAUGGCCAUGAACUAAUCCUCCCAAACUGUAAACAAGCCAAGUAAAUGUUUUCUUUUUAAAUUGCUUUGGUCCUGGUGUCUCUUACAGCAAUAGAAUAGUAACUAAAAUAGGGUUGAAUGUCUGUUAGUCUCGGGUUUAAUCCUCAACACAAAAAUAAUGUAUGCUAAUUUAUCAUUUAUACAAGGGGCCUGGGAUGGAGCGUGUCAAGCCUUCACAAAGCCCCUGGGUUCAGUGUCCAACAAAAAAUACAACCGGUAAGAUCAGUGUGAAUUAAGAGCUUAGGUUAUGGAGAUUUACUUAAAAGCUUUGGUCAUAAGCUGGUAUAAGAAAAGCUGGUAGCAGAGAACAUGAGAUAGCGUGUUGUCUUCAUGUUUGAAUUCCCAAUUUAAAAUGUGAAUGCGUUCCAGUGUGCAGUGGUUGUUUCCGUGUAAACACUACACUAGCUUCAAAUCUUAGCACCAUCAAGACUCAUCAGGGAAAAAGCUGAAGGCCUCUGGGAGACAAUUAUCCAAUAAAUAGGAGGCUGUGGAUGAGGCUCAGUUGGUAGGACCUGGCCUGGUACUGGGUUCUGAGGUCCACCCAGAGGCCGAAUAACUUGGGCAGUGAGGUUAGGACAUAUCAUCCUGCUAUAUGGUGACUUCUAAGUCAACAAACUACCCCAAAACCUCAGUUGUCAGUUCCUAACACCACAUGGUGGCUCACAACCAUUCCUAAGUCCAGUUCCUAAAAUUAAAAAACAAAAACUUCUGAUAUAGGACACUUUAAUCCCAGUACUCAGGAGGCAGAGGCAGGCAGAUCUCUGUGAGUUUGAGGCCAGCCUGAACUACAGAGCUAGUUUCAGGAUAGCCAUGGCUACACAAACCCUGCCUCAAAAAACAAAACAAAAACAAAAAAAGAGAUUUGAGGGUACAAAGGGUGUGUGUGUGUAGCAUUUUAAUAAAAACUCAGAGACAGAUAUUGGGGUUCAACCUGAAAUUCAGAAAGCAGAGCACUCAGCCACUUCCUCUUACCUCUACCUCAGUCCAAAAAUGGCCAUCCCGCCUCCAGGAAACCUCAGAAAUGAGACUGAGUCUGAGAGCUGUCUCCUCUUGUCUUAUAAUCCUCUCUAGGGCUGAGAUUAAAGGCGUGCACCACCACCGCCCAGCUAGAAGUAUUUUUUAAAUUUUAAAUUACAAGUUAUUUUGAAUACUGAAAUGAAAUCCCACCUAGUUCCAUUUCAGCACGCCAAGGAUGUGAAUCAGAUUUGUGUCCAGUCUAGCACAUUGUACACGUUAUCAUCAUUCAUGGAAGCAGACCACGGCUAUGUUCAACUGCCUGUGACUAAGUCAUCCUUACUGUACUUCAUAGUGGACUCAGCACAGAAGCAGCGAUGCUGCCAAGUGUGCUGACGUAGACCUAUAGUUCCAGCAUUUGGGAGUCUGGGCAGGAGGAUCUGGAAUGUACAAAGCACAAACAAGCAAACAUUUUAUUUUUAAACUUUUAUUUAUGUAUAUGGGGGGGGGGGGUGCAUGUGAGUGCAGCUGCCUAUGGAGGCCAUAAGAAGGCAUUAGAUGCCCUGGGGCUGGAGUCACAGGCAAUUAUGAACCAAAGAGGGUGUUGGGACCAAACCUGGGCCCCUGAAAGAGCAAAUGAUCUUCACUGCUCUGCUUAGUCAUCGCUCUACUACCACACGGGGGGGGGGGGGGGGGGGGAGAACGACCUUAGCCAAAAAGUUUCAGGCUUUCUCCAAGGGAUGAGGUAAAAGGUUUCCAUUUUAAAAAAGCCAGGUAAUGGUAGUGCAUGCCUUUAAUCCCAGCACGCAGGAGGCAGAGACGGGUGGAUCUCUGUGAGUUCAAGGCCAGCCUGAUCUGCAGAGCAAGUUCCAGGACAGCCGGGGCUAUUACACAGAGGAAAAACCAAAAGAAUGGAAAUAACAGAUUCUGUGAAAUUGUGAGGAAAAAAGUUGCUAGUUUUACCGUCACACCUCCCACUGCCAAAGUUACAGCUGUUAAUAUGAUCAAUGCUUAGUUGACGUGAAAUGUAAGAGGCCAGGUGUGAUGGGAGAUGCUGAUACACACUGGGAAGGUGCAGGCAAGGGGGUUGGCUCAGCCUAGCUCAGAGAAGAGCGAAGAGCACUGGCUGCACUUCCAGAGGUCCUGAGUUCAAUUCCAAGCACCUACAUGGUGGCUCACAACCAUCUGUAAUGGGGUCUGGCGCCCUCUUCUGGUGGGCAUGAAGACAGGUCACUCACAUACAUAAAUAAACAUAAAAAAGUCAAGAUGGAAAAAAGUACUGCAGGAUUCUGAACUCAGGCUUCAGUUAGACAGGGAUUUUGCUUCUGAAGCAGGUCACCAGUUCAAAACCACAGGGGAUUUUAAAAGCACAAACACCAGAGCCAUGUUCAAAGACCCAGGCUAACCACACACACAGUUCAUACGGGACCCAUGUGACCAAGGCAGCUUCUACUGCCCACCCUGUACUCCCCUCACCCAUCUCACCACAUUCAGCUCAAGCACUAAAGCACCCCCACCUCAGGAUCUUGGCACUGCCUCCAGAAAUGCUCUGGUGGCCGAGUAGCUGGGGCACUUGGUCCAAGACCACCUUCGCUUCGGGCAGUACUGGCCACUCUACACUGCUGUGCUUUGACUUUCAUUUUCUGCCCUGCAGAAGAGAAAACUGGCCCCAAGUUCAGUCACUUGUCAAGAUCACAGCAGUGACUCAGGGCACCCUGACCUCUGAGCCUGCCAGGCACAACCUCGCGGCAGGCAGGCAAUGGUCACACAUUGGCUUAGUCAGAAAGGAGUUUAUCAGGGGGUGGAGAUAAAUGAAACACCUCUACAAACCCAGCACUAGCGGCUCCACCUAGGACACCUCCUCAGAGGAACUUUCCCCUGAUUAGCCUACUGUUCCUAGCUCUACAGCCCCACCACAGCAGCUCAGGCUGCCAGGGAACUCAGGGCAAUCCCCCUACCCCAGCCUUCUGGGUACUAGGACCAAAGUCCUGCCUAUCAGCUUUAAUUUUCGCUCUCAAGUUUUAUUCAGCAUCUCCUAGUAUUCAGCAAGUAUAUACUGAAUCUGCUGAUUGCUGGCACGGUGCCUGGUGGUGUUCGUGGGAACAAACAUGAUCAUCAUCAUGGCGGGAACAAGAGUUCUCACACAGGAAGAAAAAACUGCCCACUGAGUGACAGCUAGGGAGGCCCCAAACUACUACAAAUCAGAUGGGCUAACCACAGAACCCACAUGUCACAGCCAUUAGGCCAAUGUGGAAAGAGAUGUUUCCACUUGCCUGUCUGCAAUAACAUGGGAGUCCCUUAGUGAUGCAAGCAACAGCUCUGUCCUGCUCUUUCAAAUGCCACAGGGACAGCUUCAGUGAGCCAUUCCUCUGUAAUAGCGUGCAGAAGCUGGCCCUUCUGAAGCAGGAGUAUCCUUGUGCAGCUCACGACCUGCCCAAAUGCACACGGUGUCUUUCCUGUCCUCAAUAAUGGUUUUCUAAGAUUGUGAGCGAACCCACAGAGGCCAGGAGAUUCAACCUCUCCAUGUGGAUGGAACCAAGGAAGACAAAAUAAAACAGACAAUAGUGGUGAAAAACCAACCCUCAAAAAAACCACUUUAAUCACAAGCUAACAGCGCCAGGUGCAAUGUCUGGGGACAGACUCUGGGUACAAUGCUGUGUGGCAACCACACACUCACACGCGGCUCUGAGAAGGCCCCCAAGGGGGACUUACCUUCAGGGACUGAGCCAAAGGGGGGGUAAGGGGCAGCCCCAGAAUGGGGACCGGGACGCCCCGUGGGGGAAGGCGCUACUUCUUGGCAAAAGAGAUCUUCAUGGCAUUGUUCUGCGUGAUCUUAAA
Alexandromys fortis (reed vole) is the source of this 5660-nucleotide long non-coding RNA. RefSeq lists it as uncharacterized. Lineage: Eukaryota; Metazoa; Chordata; Mammalia; Rodentia; Cricetidae. The transcript has 3 exons. The record is from RefSeq and is a predicted model, not a curated record.